GACAUCAGCAGAGCCCAGAACUCCUCCCGCUGGCCAGCAUGGGCUCUUUCUUCCCGGCCAAAGCUCUGAUUUCCACCGUCAUAGCGCUGGAGCAGCACCUCAUAAAGCAAGCAAACAGACACUGCUGAAUAGAACUCUGAUAGAAGGUGGAAGACGAAUUGGACUCAGUGCUUAUGGGCUCCAUCCAACUUGGGAUAAUCUAUGAUUCACAGGUUUUGAAAUUUGUGGCUUACUGUGGAUGGCCAGAUGGAUGUAAGAGUAAAGAAGACUGUCUACUCAACAUUUUCACAGAGAAAACUGCCGAGCUGGAAUGUGAAGUCCGUGUAAGUCCAGGAGGGAAAAAGAACAGGAAUGGUCAAAAACGAAGUCCUGCGGCUAUUGGAACAUCAUCAGCUCUGGCUUCUGGAGGCCUGGUCCACCAAAUUACAACCAUGGAAGAAGCCUGAUUACUGAGACCACAUUCCUCAAACUCUUUCCUGCCGUGCCGAUCAUUCAGCGCAGCCCCCGGACUGGGAUAAAUCCUGGAUUACAGUGAGAUUCUGUCAGACUCAUGACCCUGCUUACAGCUGCAGCCACUCUAGCUGGGCUUUUGGCCCCUUUUAUUGGGAGUUGUGGUGUUUGUGUCAAAUUUUUGACACUGUUCUUCAGUUGCAGUUGGUUCUAUCGUAAGUGGGCGGAAAAAGUCGAGAGCUUUCUGAUUCAGGUUAUCUGUUUGCAAAAUGAAUGCACGCUAAAACUGCGUGCUAAUUAGUCAUGCAAAAAAAGAAUAUAUGUACAGUAUACAGAUAGAGACAUUCCCCCUCCUUGUAGGAUCUCCAAACCUCUUGAAAACGUAACAAAUAGUUCCCAGAGGUCACUUUAUCUCCUCCUGAACUGCAGCCAGUGCUGGAGUGAUCUGUGGCAAAUAUUUAACAUUCCAGAGAGACAAUUUAGGCUAGGAAGUGGAAAGGAAAGCCUUGUUCAAUUGAAACUAGAGGGAGAUUUCAGAUAGGCAGGAUGUAAAUACCUAAAUUGUGUUUCGAUUAAUUACUCUGAGGUAGUCAUAAGCUUGGUCACCUUUUAUAAACAGUCAUAAGAGGAAAGGAAAACUAUAGAAAGGGAAUUUCAAAAUCAUCCUUCACAAACAUGAAUGAGUUAAACAAUAUCUGAUAAGAAGGCAGUGUCUUGGGUUUUAUUUUCAAAACAUCCCAUGUGUAAAUGAGUAAUGCAACGUUCAACUCUUGAGCAAGUGGCCAUGUACAUAACAAGCUGUUUACUCAAGAUACUUCCAUCAAACACAAUCAGGUUGCCUAACUAAGUUUGCAAGCAAAUUUUACAAGACCCCCAUUGCAACAGGUACUGACUGCAAAUACCUCACACAAAAGUCUAAGAAAGGAUUAAAGCUAAAUGUGACACUGAUAGUGAGCAUUGACGUACAGAAAUGUUAUCUCUGGGAAA
Molecule: long non-coding RNA, 1437 nt
Organism: Lagopus leucura (white-tailed ptarmigan)
Lineage: Eukaryota; Metazoa; Chordata; Aves; Galliformes; Phasianidae
Exons: 4
Source: RefSeq, a predicted model, not a curated record